Molecule: RNase P RNA, 377 nt
Filed under: Gemmatimonadales bacterium
Lineage: Bacteria; Pseudomonadati; Gemmatimonadota; Gemmatimonadia; Gemmatimonadales
Description: RNase P RNA component class A
Rfam family: Bacterial RNase P class A
About the family: Ribonuclease P (RNase P) is a ubiquitous endoribonuclease, found in archaea, bacteria and eukarya as well as chloroplasts and mitochondria. Its best characterised activity is the generation of mature 5'-ends of tRNAs by cleaving the 5'-leader elements of precursor-tRNAs.
Source: RNAcentral
CUGGUCAAGCACGAUGGUCGCGGGGGCCGAGAGGCUCCCGAGGAAAGUCCGAGCUCCAUAGGGUAGACUGCCAGGUAACGCCUGGGCGCCGCAAGGCGACGGACAGGGCCACAGAAAAGAAACCGCCCCGAGAGGCCGUAAGGUCUCGACGGGUAAGGGUGAAACGGUGGGGUAAGAGCCCACCGCGCUGCUGGUAACAGCGGCGGCAGGGUAACCCCCAGUCGGAGCAAGGCCAAAUAGGCGGCGAGGUGUGACCCACACCGACAAAGCCGCGGGUAGGCUGCUAGAGGUGGUCGGCGACGGCCAUCCCAGACAGAUGACCAUCCUCCGGAAACAAUCCCGGGGAACAGAACUCGGCUUACGGCUCGACCAGCAGC